UGAUCCUGGCUCAGAACGAACGUUAGCGGCGCGCCUAACACAUGCAAGUCGAGCGAGAAGGAAGCAAUUCCUGUAAAGCGGCGCACGGGUGAGUAACACGUAGGUAAUCUACCUCGAAGUGGUGGAUAACCUUCCGAAAGGAGGGCUAAUACAGCAUGAGACCACGGUUUCGAAAGAGAUUGAGGUCAAAGCGGGCCACUAUACAUAAGCUCGCGCUUCGAGAUGAGCCUGCGGCCCAUCAUGGUAGUUGGUAGGGUAAUGGCCUACCAAGCCGAAGACGGGUAGCUGGUCUGAGAGGAUGAUCAGCCACACUGGAACUGAGACACGGUCCAGACUCCUACGGGAGGCAGCAGUGGGGAAUCUUGCGCAAUGGGCGAAAGCCUGACGCAGCGACGCCGCGUGAGUGAUGAAGG
This 413-nucleotide ribosomal RNA is filed under the name uncultured bacterium. RNAcentral's name for it is "bacterial SSU rRNA". It matches the Rfam family "Bacterial small subunit ribosomal RNA", at positions 14 to 414 of the family's 1533-position model. The record is from RNAcentral.